Papilio xuthus (Asian swallowtail) is the source of this 581-nucleotide long non-coding RNA. RefSeq lists it as uncharacterized. The transcript has 2 exons. The record is from RefSeq and is a predicted model, not a curated record. Lineage: Eukaryota; Metazoa; Arthropoda; Insecta; Lepidoptera; Papilionidae.
CAUUCAAAUUAGACACCCCAAGAACUGUCAUAAUGGAUUGUCUGUAAAGAGAAAUUGUAAAAUCGUUAAAUUUUUGGUUUUCAUCAAAUUAUGUGUCCUGUGUUAUAAUACUGCAUUGUUUCGACUUCCUUAUGUAUUAUUGGAUGAUCUACAUCUAGGUGUUAAGAAAUCAUCAUUUGAAAGGAAGUGAUUUAAAAUCAAUCAAGGUGGCUUGACGCGGUCUCGGGCGUUGUCGAAACAUGAUUUGCAUUUCCUUGUACGCCCUGAUCGCCUCAGCCACGAUCCUCGCGUGCGUGCCCGUCUGCUACCGACAGUUGGAGAUGAACAAGUUCAUCAAGUGCUUGAAGAAGUAGAUGUUCCCCGUCAUGAUAAUUUGUGUCUCCUGUAUGACCGCCAUGAUCGCCGUCGGCUGUAUAUCCUGCGUCCCUAUUAUCUUGGACACCUAUUGGCCCGGGAAAAAGUGCAAGAAGGCGGAAUCCUGUAGAAAUCCUUCAUGUCCAAAAAAAUCUAGGUCUAAUUGAUGUACUGUAUAUAUUUGUCUUGAGUGAAAAUUAAAUUUUUUGGAAGUUUUUUGUCAUAUA